This 538-nucleotide ribosomal RNA is filed under the name Cyclidium glaucoma. RNAcentral's name for it is "eukaryotic LSU rRNA". It matches the Rfam family "Eukaryotic large subunit ribosomal RNA", at positions 89 to 631 of the family's 3401-position model. Lineage: Eukaryota; Ciliophora; Oligohymenophorea; Pleuronematida; Cyclidiidae. The record is from RNAcentral.
GCGAGUGAACAGGCAAAAGCUCAAAAUGGAAAUCCUUUUCAUAGAGGAAAGGAAUUGUAAUCUAGAGGACGGUUGCGAAGGCAUAGCUUCAGCAUGAGUUCCUUGGAAUAGGACGCCAAAGAGGGUGAUAGCCCCAUACACGACUGAGGCUGGCUGUAGGAGCUGUUUCAAAGAGUCGGGUUGUUUGGGACUGCAGCCCUAAGCGGGAGAUAAACUUCUUCUAAAGCUAAAUAUUGAUGGGAAACCGAUAGCGAACAAGUACUACGAAGGAAAGAUGAAAAGAACUUUGAAAAGAGGGUUAAAAGACUUGAAAUCGUUGAGUAGGAAGCGGUUGGAGGGCAGUCACUUGCAAAGAUAUUGGCGAGAGCCGGCCGGUCGCUGGGGGAAAAGGUACGAAAGGCCUAGUCUUCAGUCGAUAACGGACAGCUGCGUCUUAUUCGAAAGCAAAAGACAGAUUGGACAUCAGAGUGCGGGAAUAAACGGUAGGGGUCGAACCAGGCCUAGCUUGGAGCCCUGCCGCAGAAACCGGGACUCGGUG